CAAGUCUGCCUGCUCAAGGAAACAGGGCUGUGACGUUGUUUCAAGGGGAUGGCACUGUCUGGACCAACUGAGAUCACCUGACUCAAGCCAGCCACUCAGUGGAGGAAGGGGAGUACUUCUCUCUUUGUCCCACUGAAGCGAGAGGAAACUGGAGUGGAGCUGCUGACAGAGGCUGAGUCUCCACUGGGGCAAGACCACAUUGCUGUGAGAGUGGCUGGUCUACAGAGAUGCCUUAAAUCCUGACUGGUUGUCCAGUCUUGUUCCAGUCCACCUGUAUCCUGACCAUAAAGCUCUCUUUUUUUAAGAGCCUAGAGAAGGGACAGAGGGAAAACGAAACUGAAAAGGAAUAGAAGGCUGGACAUACAGAUGGCAACACACAGACGCAGUCUUGACACAAGGAUGGCUCCGACAAAACCGAGACUAAGACUUGGAGACCUGAUUGAGAUUUCUCGCUUUGGCUAUAAGCACUGGGCCAUCUACGUGGGAGGAGGCUAUGUGGUCCACCUGGCUCUCGCAG
Long non-coding RNA from Equus quagga, 517 nucleotides. RefSeq lists it as uncharacterized. The transcript has 4 exons. NCBI's taxonomy places the organism in Eukaryota, Metazoa, Chordata, Mammalia, Perissodactyla, Equidae. The record is from RefSeq and is a predicted model, not a curated record.